GGAAACCGGGGCUAAUACCGGAUAAUAUUUUGAACCGCAUGGUUCAAUAGUGAAAGACGGUUUCGGCUGUCACUUAUAGAUGGACCCGCGCCGUAUUAGCUAGUUGGUAAGGUAACGGCUUACCAAGGCGACGAUACGUAGCCGACCUGAGAGGGUGAUCGGCCACACUGGAACUGAGACACGGUCCAGACUCCUACGGGAGGCAGCAGUAGGGAAUCUUCCGCAAUGGGCGAAAGCCUGACGGAGCAACGCCGCGUGAGUGAUGAAGGUCUUCGGAUCGUAAAACUCUGUUGUUAGGGAAGAACAAAUUUGUUAGUAACUGAACAAGUCUUGACGGUACCUAACCAGAAAGCCACGGCUAACUACGUGCCAGCAGCCGCGGUAAUACGUAGGUGGCAAGCGUUAUCCGGAAUUAUUGGGCGUAAAGCGCGCGUAGGCGGUUUCUUAAGUCUGAUGUGAAAGCCCACGGCUCAACCGUGGAGGGUCAUUGGAAACUGGGAAACUUGAGUGCAGAAGAGGAGAGUGGAAUUCCAUGUGUAGCGGUGAAAUGCGCAGAGAUAUGGAGGAACACCAGUGGCGAAGGCGGCUCUCUGGUCUGUAACUGACGCUGAUGUGCGAAAGCGUGGGGAUCAAACAGGAUUAGAUACCCUGGUAGUCCACGCCGUAAACGAUGAGUGCUAAGUGUUAGGGGGUUUCCGCCCCUUAGUGCUGCAGCUAACGCAUUAAGCACUCCGCCUGGGGAGUACGACCGCAAGGUUGAAACU
RNAcentral lists this ribosomal RNA (764 nucleotides) under Mammaliicoccus sciuri. RNAcentral describes it as "bacterial SSU rRNA". It matches the Rfam family "Bacterial small subunit ribosomal RNA", at positions 152 to 901 of the family's 1533-position model. Lineage: Bacteria; Bacillati; Bacillota; Bacilli; Caryophanales; Staphylococcaceae. The record is from RNAcentral.